RNAcentral lists this ribosomal RNA (380 nucleotides) under uncultured eukaryote. RNAcentral's name for it is "partial 18S ribosomal RNA". It matches the Rfam family "Eukaryotic small subunit ribosomal RNA", at positions 592 to 976 of the family's 1831-position model. The record is from RNAcentral.
CAAUAGCGUAUAUUAAAGUUGUUGCAGUUAAAAAGCUCGUAGUUGGAUUUGUGGCAGUUGCGUGCGGCUCGGCACAUUGUGCUGUUGUUUGCGUGCGACGCCAUCCUUGGGUGGAUCCUGUGUGGCAUUAGGUUGUCGUGCAGGGGAUGCCCAUCAUUUACUGUGAGAAAAUUAGAGUGUUCAAAGCAGGCUUAUGCCGUUGAAUAUAUUAGCAUGGAAUAAUAAGAUAGGACCUUGGUACUAUUUUGUUGGUUUGCGCACCAAGGUAAUGAUUAAUAGGGACAGUUGGGGGUAUUCGUAUUCCAUUGUCAGAGGUGAAAUUCUUGGAUUUUUGGAAGACGAACUACUGCGAAAGCAUUUACCAAGGAUGUUUUCAUUAA